This 675-nucleotide ribosomal RNA is filed under the name Triticum aestivum (bread wheat). RNAcentral's name for it is "partial small subunit ribosomal RNA". The record is from RNAcentral. Lineage: Eukaryota; Viridiplantae; Streptophyta; Magnoliopsida; Poales; Poaceae.
AUGGCGGCGGCGGUGAAGGUGUACGGGUGGGCGAUGUCGCCGUUCGUGGCGCGCCCAUUGCUGUGCCUGGAGGAGGCAGGCGUCGACUACGAGCUCGUCCCCAUGAGCCGCGAGGCCGGCGACCACCGCCAGCCGGACUUCCUCGCCAGGAACCCCUUCGGCCAGGUGCCGGUUCUCGAGGACGGCGACCUCACUCUCUUCGAAUCGCGGGCAAUCGCGAGGCACGUGCUUCGCAAGUACAAGCCGGAGUUGCUGGUAGGCGACGGCUCGCCGGAGUCGGCGUCCACGGUCGACAUGUGGCUGGAGGUGGAGGCCCACCAGCACCACCCCGUGUUGGUCGCCAUCACGAUGCAGUGCCUCGUCGCCCCGCUCCUCGGCAACGCGCCGGACCAGGCCGUCCUCGACGAGAACCUCGGGAAGCUGGGGAAGGUGCUGGAGGUGUACGAGGCACGGCUGUCGGCAUCCAAGUACCUCGCCGGGGAAUCGGUCAGCAUCGCCGACCUCAGCCACUUCCCGAUGAUGCGCUACUUCAUGGAGACCGAGUACGCGGCGCUGGUAGAGGAGAGCCCCCAUGUCAAGGCGUGGUGGGAGGAGCUCAAGGCGAGGCCGGCGGCCAGAAGGGUGACGGAGUUCAUGCCGCCUGACUUUGGGCUUGGAAAGAAGGCAGAGAAGUGA